UACUCCUACGGGGAGGCAGCAGUGGGGAAUAUUGGACAAUGGGCGCAAGCCUGAUCCAGCCAUGCCGCGUGAGUGAUGAAGGCCCUAGGGUUGUAAAGCUCUUUCACCGGAGAAGAUAAUGACGGUAUCCGGAGAAGAAGCCCCGGCUAACUUCGUGCCAGCAGCCGCGGUAAUACGAAGGGGGCUAGCGUUGUUCGGAAUUACUGGGCGUAAAGCGCACGUAGGCGGACAUUUAAGUCAGGGGUGAAAUCCCAGAGCUCAACUCUGGAACUGCCUUUGAUACUGGGUGUCUUGAGUAUGGAAGAGGUGAGUGGAAUUCCGAGUGUAGAGGUGAAAUUCGUAGAUAUUCGGAGGAACACCAGUGGCGAAGGCGGCUCACUGGUCCAUA
This 388-nucleotide ribosomal RNA is filed under the name Rhizobium sp. RNAcentral's name for it is "bacterial SSU rRNA". It matches the Rfam family "Bacterial small subunit ribosomal RNA", at positions 334 to 738 of the family's 1533-position model. Lineage: Bacteria; Pseudomonadati; Pseudomonadota; Alphaproteobacteria; Hyphomicrobiales; Rhizobiaceae. The record is from RNAcentral.